Neopelma chrysocephalum (saffron-crested tyrant-manakin) is the source of this 157-nucleotide long non-coding RNA. RefSeq lists it as uncharacterized. The record is from RefSeq and is a predicted model, not a curated record. NCBI's taxonomy places the organism in Eukaryota, Metazoa, Chordata, Aves, Passeriformes, Pipridae. The transcript has 2 exons.
CUGCCUGCCCUCCUGCUGUUUCACUGUUCCCUGUGAGACACAGAGGACACGGAGCCCCGAUCGGAGCAGCAAACAGUGCCAAGAUGUCCAAGAGGAAGCCAACUCCAGAUGAGGAACUCAAGGAGGAGACAACUCCAGAUGAGGAAUCUGAGGAUGA